Molecule: long non-coding RNA, 2594 nt
Organism: Acinonyx jubatus (cheetah)
Lineage: Eukaryota; Metazoa; Chordata; Mammalia; Carnivora; Felidae
Exons: 3
Source: RefSeq, a predicted model, not a curated record
CGCCGCGGGUGAGGAAGGGCAUGCGGUUGAUGGCGAUGGGCACGGUGCCGUGCUUGCUGUGGAAGUGGUGGACGUGGUGGGUGGUGCUGAGGCUGGAGGAGACCCGGGCCCCCUCGGCCGCCCCCAGCAGUAGCGGCAGCAGCAGGAGCGGCAGCAGAGGUGGCGGCGGCGGCGUCGGGGGCCCGGCCAGGGCGGGGGGGCGGCGCGGGCACCCCCCCGGCCCGCUCCCCCCGGGGGGCAUUUCGGCCCGGGGGCGGCCGCCUCACAGCCCCAUGGCCGGGGGCGGGGACGCGGGGCUGCGCAGCCCCGCGAAGCCCCCCUCCGGCUCCGAGCCCCGGGAGGGGGGGUAGGGGUGAAGAGAAGGAAAACCAGAGCCCAAGCCUCGGUCCGGAGCCAACGAAAUCAACUGGAUCCCGCCGGGGAAUCCGAGGUCCGCGGAGCGGCAACGCCAAGGUCCAGGACGCCUGGGUCCAUCUCGAGGAGCUAAGGGUCUGCCCGCAUCCCGGCGGGGUCGGAGCGGCGCAGAGGGCCGUCAGAAACCCGGGGGAGCGCCCGGGGGAGGGGGCAUGGUGCCGGGUGGAGAGGUUCGGCCGAGGAAGCCACUUCUUCUAGGUGCCCCUCCACUGGGAUCUGCCUCCCCCCACUCCCCACCGCAGAGUUUUGGGGACCUCUGGGAAGCACCUGUCAUAGCCCAAGAGCCCCGUGAGCCCGACGGGAACGCCUGAAUGCAGUCAGCACCCAGGACAGCUCCCCUGUUGCCCAGGUCACCUCCCCAACCUUGUGGGAGGACGUGGCCCCAUUUGGCCCCUGGCCCUUCAGAAGUGAAGAAAGGGGUCCCCAGAAGAGAAGGAAGGCUUCGAGGUGGAACAUGGCUCUGUGAGGAAAGAGACACUGCAGCCUGCAAAGCGGGGCUGGGGCCCCCUGAAGCCUUGUCCGCCUGCCCUCUCCAUCCCAUCCUUGUGCCCCAGGCUCUGGAAUAGAGACUGACACAGCUCUGAGCAGGCAGAAAAUUUAUGGUCCCAGAGGGAAGGAGGGAGGAGCCGGUGGCGGUGAGAGGAGAGGAAGGGAAACCGCCUAGAGGCCAAUCAAUAUCAGUGAGUGGGAAGUGGAGAGAGUUGGAGGGGGUGACGUUGGGGAGCCAGGGGGGGAGACGGAGGGUAAAAGAGGAGAGGGAGAGGUGUGCAAGACAUCAAUAGAGCCUGCGGAGAUGAACAGAGCAAGUGGAGAGAUGAGAAGAGGAGGGCAGGCAUGGGGAAGAGCUGAUAUCCUGGGAGAGGGGCGUUCUGGAAGACAGAACCCUGAGCAGGCCUGAUGGGAGCACCUGGGUCCCAAACCCCAGUUCUGGAAUUUCAGCCCCAUGUCAAGCGGUGUCCCUCCUUCUAGCUUCCCUUCCUCCCUCAUUUCGUAUUCUGUUCUCCAUUCUCUCCCCCACUUUCCUCUCUCUCAUGGCAGAGAUGGGUUCUCUCCUCUGAUCUCUCCUGCCUUCCCAGAGCAGACUACUGAACUUUAAAGGGACACAGAGGUCCUGCACACCCCAUGUUACAGACGGAGAAACUGAGGCCACAAGCUGGGAAAGGUUGUCCUGAAUGAAGGUCAGACGUCUCCCCACCCCAGUCUCUCCCCCACCAGACAACCCCAACGCUCUGAGGACACCCUGGCCAUUCCCACCCUCCUCCCUCUCUUCCGGCUCUGGGCCCCUUCAUGCCCCGUGCUGUUCCCAGGGCCUUCACACUCAGGCAGGGUGAACUGAACAGGCCUCUCGGCCAGGUUCCUGCUUGACCUUGUGCAGCGGCUGGGCCCCAAGAAGACCAGCCAUAGAGGGACAGCACGAACAAGACACAGAGCCGAACGUGGAGAAUUAGGAGGCACGAUCCCAAGAGAAGAGGGAAUUACGGUUUGGGAAGUAAUGGCACAGCCCCCAGCCCCAGGUUCCUGCCCUGCCCUUCCGGGGCAGAGAUCUCAGAAGGUCCCCCAGGGCCGGUAUCGGGGGAAGCAGCAGGCAGAAUCCCAGCAGCUGCCGGUUGCACCCACCUUGUCUUGACCUCCACGGCUCUGCUCAGGCCUGCCACCAGACACAGACCAGUGUUCGGGGAUGGUGAUUCUUCCCAAGAUAUGCCCUGCUCCCCAGCCCCGAGUCUCCCUGCCUCCCACCUUCCUGGAACCUGAAGAAGCUGUUCCAGCCUCUCUUCCCACCCUCGCUGAAAGAUGACAUAACUCCCUAAAUUCCCAACAAUCUCUAUGCCCGCUUCCAGAAAGCUCCGGUGUGUGCCAGUGUAGUAGUGACAGUGGGCAGCAGUACUUCUUGACCUUGAUCCUUUGCAUCCCAGGCAAGAAAUGCCCACUAUUAGGGGCGCCUGGGGGGCUCAGUCGGUUGAGCAUCCGACUCCGGCUCAGGUCAUGAUCUCGCGGUUCGUGAGUUUGAGCCCCGCGUCGGGCUCUGUGCUGACAGCUCGGAGCCUGGAGCCUGCUUCCGAUUCUGUGUCUCCCUCUCUGUCUGCCUUCCCCCACCCUCCAUUCACACUCUGUCUUUGUCUCUGUCUGUCUGUCUCUCUCUCUCAAAAAUAAAUAAACAUUUAAAAAAUUAAAAAAAAAAA